This 837-nucleotide ribosomal RNA is filed under the name uncultured archaeon. RNAcentral's name for it is "bacterial SSU rRNA". It matches the Rfam family "Archaeal small subunit ribosomal RNA", at positions 21 to 859 of the family's 1478-position model. The record is from RNAcentral.
GGUUACCGCUAUCGGUGUUCGCCUAAGCCAUGCGAGUCAUAUGUUCGUAAGAACAUGGCGUACUGCUCAGUAACACGUGGAUAACCUGCCCUUGGGUCCGGCAUAACCCCGGGAAACUGGGGAUAAUUCCGGAUAACGCACAUAUGCUGGAAUGCUUUAUGCGUAAAAUGGAUUCGUCUGCCCAAGGAUGGGUCUGCGGCCUAUCAGGUAGUAGUGGGUGUAAUGUACCUACUAGCCUACGACGGGUACGGGUUGUGAGAGCAAGAGCCCGGAGAUGGAUUCUGAGACAUGAAUCCAGGCCCUACGGGGCGCAGCAGGCGCGAAAACUUUACAAUGCGGGAAACCGUGAUAAGGGGACACCGAGUGCCAGCAUCAUAUGCUGGCUGUCCGGGUGUGUAAAAUACACCUGUUAGCAAGGGCCGGGCAAGACCGGUGCCAGCCGCCGCGGUAACACCGGCGGCCCGAGUGGUGAUCGUGAUUAUUGGGUCUAAAGGGUCCGUAGCCGGUUUGGUCAGUCCUCCGGGAAAUCUGACGGCUUAACCGUUAGGCUUUCGGGGGAUACUGCCAGACUUGGAACCGGGAGAGGUAAGAGGUACUACAGGGGUAGGAGUGAAAUCUUGUAAUCCCUGUGGGACCACCUGUGGCGAAGGCGUCUUACCAGAACGGGUUCGACGGUGAGGGACGAAAGCUGGGGGCACGAACCGGAUUAGAUACCCGGGUAGUCCCAGCCGUAAACGAUGCUCGCUAGGUGUCAGGCAUGGCGCGACCGUGUCUGGUGCCGCAGGGAAGCCGUGAAGCGAGCCACCUGGGAAGUACGGCCGCAAGGCUGAAACUUAA